GCAAGAUUAAAACUCAAAGGAAUAGACGGGGACCCGCACAAGCGGUGGAGCAUGUGGUUUAAUUCGACGAUACGCGAAGAACCUUACCUGGCCUUGACAUAGAAAGAACUUUCCAGAGACGGAUUGGUGCUAGUUUACUAGAGCUUUCAUACAGGUGCUGCACGGCUGUCGUCAGCUCGUGUCGUGAGAUGUUGGGUUAAGUCCCGCAACGAGCGCAACCCUCGUGUUUAGUUACUAACAGUUCGGCUGAGGACUCUAAACAGACUGCCUGGGUAACCAGGAGGAAGGUGAGGACGACGUCAAGUCAUCAUGGCCCUUACGGCCAGGGCUACACACGUGCUACAAUGGGGUAUACAAAGAGCUGCAAUACCGUGAGGUGGAGCAAAUCUCAUAAAAUAUCUCCCAGUUCGGAUUGAAGUCUGCAACUCGACUUCAUGAAGUUGGAAUCGCUAGUAAUCGUGAAUCAGCAAUGUCACGGUGAAUACGUUCCCGGGUCUUGUACUCACCGCCCGUCACACCAUGGGAAUUGAAUUCAUUCGAAGCGGGGAUGCUAAAAUAGCUACCUUCCACAGUGGAUUUAGUAACUAGGGUGAAGUCGUAACAAGGUA
RNAcentral lists this ribosomal RNA (608 nucleotides) under uncultured bacterium. RNAcentral describes it as "bacterial SSU rRNA". It matches the Rfam family "Bacterial small subunit ribosomal RNA", at positions 888 to 1498 of the family's 1533-position model. The record is from RNAcentral.